Lacerta agilis (Sand lizard) is the source of this 376-nucleotide long non-coding RNA. RefSeq lists it as uncharacterized. The record is from RefSeq and is a predicted model, not a curated record. The transcript has 2 exons. NCBI's taxonomy places the organism in Eukaryota, Metazoa, Chordata, Lepidosauria, Squamata, Lacertidae.
AAAGUAACUGAAACAACAUGGCGAGAUUCCAACACAGCAGGAGCAGCAGCAGGAACUGCAAAUGGAUGGCGAAAAGGGGGCGCCGUGGGGGCGGCUCCGGACGGCGGGGCAAAGGGAGGAGGAGGGGAAGACGCGGUGGAAGGAGAAAAGGUGGCAAAAGCCGUAGAGGUGGGCGGAAGAUAAAGAGAACUUGUCAGGCCCCAUGAAACCCAAAGCCUCAGGCUAUUUGCCCUGUUCAAUCUCUACUAAACAACACUCGAGAGCCACCCCCCAUCAGACUACCUGAGGCAAUCUCGCCCUACAAGAUCCCAGCAACUUGCUUGAGAAUGAACAGUGUCCUCUGUCAAUAAAGUCUGAAACGCCAUCACCACCACAA